Molecule: transfer RNA, 68 nt
Filed under: Hyloxalus subpunctatus (Bogota rocket frog)
Lineage: Eukaryota; Metazoa; Chordata; Amphibia; Anura; Dendrobatidae
Description: tRNA-Arg
Source: RNAcentral
GAAGUGUUAGUCUAAAAAGAUUGCUGAUUUCGACUCAGCAGAUUAUGAUUUAACCUCAUAACACUUCU